GAUGAACGCUGGCGGCGUGCUUAACACAUGCAAGUCGAACGAAGCACUUUAGUUGAUUUCUUCGGAUUGAUUCUAAAGUGACUUAGUGGCGGACGGGUGAGUAACGCGUGGGUAACCUGCCUCGUACAGGGGGAUAACAGUUAGAAAUGACUGCUAAUACCGCAUAACCCGCUAAGGUCGCAUGACCUAGACGGAAAAGAUUUAUCGGUACGAGAUGGACCCGCGUCUGAUUAGCUUGUUGGCGGGGUAACGGCCCACCAAGGCGACGAUCAGUAGCCGGUCUGAGAGGAUGAACGGCCACAUUGGGACUGAGAUACGGCCCAGACUCCUACGGGAGGCAGCAGUGGGGAAUAUUGGGCAAUGGGGGAAACCCUGACCCAGCAACGCCGCGUGAAGGAAGAAGGCCUUCGGGUUGUAAACUUCUUUUAGCAGGGACGAAGGACGUGACGGUACCUGCAGAAAAAGCAACGGCUAACUACGUG
Molecule: ribosomal RNA, 482 nt
Filed under: uncultured bacterium
Lineage: Bacteria
Description: bacterial SSU rRNA
Rfam family: Bacterial small subunit ribosomal RNA
Source: RNAcentral